This 2865-nucleotide long non-coding RNA is filed under the name Nicotiana benthamiana. Its description in RNAcentral is "long non-coding RNA (NBEN_LNC039634)". Lineage: Eukaryota; Viridiplantae; Streptophyta; Magnoliopsida; Solanales; Solanaceae. The record is from RNAcentral.
CCACAUUUAAGUUGCCGUCCGACAUAUACCAUAACAAUUCUUGCAACUAAUAACUUCUUUCCAAAAUCCAGAAUCUCAUGAUCACAAGUCUUUGAAUGUCUACACGUAUCAAACCCCAGAAUGUUUAACAAUAAAACGAAAGUACAUAAAGGCUAAAACAAAAAAAAGGAGUAGAAAGGGACUCUUCGGUCUAUGGACGCGACAGAUAUACCUCGGAAUAUCUUCAAGCACCUCGUCUCAAGCGUGAUAAGUUUGAGUGGAGGUACCUGGAUCGGCACAUGAAAAACAUGUAUUGAAAGGGCAUGGGUACACCACAACGAUACUCAGUAAGUGCCAAGUCUAACCUCGGUCGGGUAGUGAUGAGGAAGGUCACAGCCCUACUGAGAUUAAAUAAAAUAUAAGGUGCGACAAUAUAAGAUAGAGCAGUACAACUGAAAGAUAACAAUAUGAAUUAAUACAGGAUAAUAAGGAUAACUACAACUGAAACAGAGGCAAAAACAACCACCAGGAAUACCACUCUUCACAAAUAUAAUAACUGGGGAUCUCUCAGUAUCCCAUGGAUCUCUUAAUUGGGAUGUGUCAAAGUUUCUAGGAGUUUCAAAGGGAUCCAGUCAUUGUUUACACCCCAAACACAUUGCAUGGUUAGAUCAAGGUGCAGUGUGGAAGGGCCAACCUUCCAAUGUACAAGUUCAGAGGGAACUCAGGGUCCCAAACCAAGGCUCAUAAGAGGGGUGCAGAGCUUAGAGUCUAAGAAUAAGUGCAAGUGCAUAAAGAGGGAAUUAGGGAAGUCAGGACAUGCUGGUGGUCAUGUCCAGCAAUUGGGAGUACCGACACAUCCCUAACCAGCCUGUUAGCCUAAUCUUAGGAGUUAGGAUCCAUUGUGGAUCAGGUUCAAACCGGGGCAACAAUAUGGAUACUGCCAGGCCAUGAGCGUUAACUCACAAACAGAGAAGGGGUGAGGGCAUGGAGAAUUCAUGAAAAUAGCAGAUGCAAAGAUAAAGUAGCAUAUUCAUUAUAGAACAUGAACAACAAAGCAGACAUGAGUAUAACAACUGUAAAGUAAACACAUAGGGAGGAAGUUGAAAUCAAAACUGAGACAUACUAGUUUCAAGGAACAAAUAAGGGAAAGCAAGAGUCUUAUAAGCCAAAUUGCAAGCAAACAGUUCAAAGAGACCUCAAAAGAGAGUAUAAUAUUGAAAGAUAGUCCUAAUCGAGAGUGUGAGAAUAUUGAAUUUUAAGUGUUCAUUAAUCGAUGAUGUGUAUAGAUGGGUCAUGCCCCUUUUUAUAGUGCAGAAAAUAAGUAAUAAAGGUAAGGAAAUAUUCAUUGAAAUCAAUCUCCAUUUAGUUAAGGGAUCCUAAUUUCAACGGGUAAAACCUAAUAAGGAAAUGAGUUUUGAUUAAAACCUUUUCAAAGUAGCACAAAAGGGGUAAAUACAUAGAAAUCAUUUAAGGAAAGCAUUCAAUGGUACAAGCUUGUGAAUAAAUAUGGAAUGUGAAUUAAUCAACAGCCAGUAAAAAUCGGAAAUUGAGUUUUGGUAUGAAUGAAUCUAACCAGAAAAGGUGAGAAAAUGUUUAAUUAAAGAAAACCAGUAACAAUCAAUCGAACCUUAUUAAAAGGAAUUCUGAAUCAAUCACAAAAUGGUAAAACCCUUUUGAAGAAAGAAUCCCUCAUAUAUAAAGCGUACAGACUUGUCAAAUAAAAAAGUACUGUCAAGUUAAUUAGAAAGAAUCUAGUAUAGAAAAGUUCAGAGUCACAAACAAUGAGGCUCAGAUUUAGUACUUAGGCUCAGACUUAGUUUGAGAGAAUCUAGGGUCCUAUAAUAGAACCCUAGUCCAAACACAAGACCAAACUUGCCAAAAACCCCAAAUCCUAGGGUUUUCAACUUCAAUCAGAAGUAGAGACGAGAAGGCAAAUAACUGAAUCACGUUUAGAAGUCUCUUUCAGAGACUCAUGAGAAAACAAACAGGUAAAAUAGAAGGUAUUAAAUAACCAUAGCGUAAAAGCUAAUUUGAAGCAUAAAGAAUAUGUUUUGAGAAAAUCUUGGAACUUAAACAAGUUAAUAGGACAAAAGGGUAGUGUAAAUUUAAGGAAACAGUAGAUGAAACAUGUCUAGAAAGAACUUCAAACAAAGUCCAGAAAAAGGCAAAUAAAGAGCUUGUCACACUUAGUAGAAAAAUGCAACAGAAGAACACAAGAACCUCGGAAAAAAUUAUAGCAAAAAAAAACACAUAUAGAAAAAUAUAGUAUGAUAGUCAUACAAGAGCAUGGUAGAAGGAAGAAUACAAGAACACAGUAGGAGCCAGUAAACGUAAAGGAAUAGGAAGGUCAGAAAUCACUCAAACAUUUCAGAAAACCAUAGAUCAGAAAAACAAAGAUCUAAAAAAAGAAUUUUUGAAAGAAAAAUUGGGGAAAUCGUUUGAAAACUCAAGUGGAGCAUACAUAACAGAUCUAAGGAAUGAAAAUCAGAAAGAACCUCGAAUAGCCAUGGAUUGCAGAGAAAACCCUAGAAAUGAGAAAGGUCUUGAAGAAAGUCUGAUCCUGGUCGAAAAUACUCAUAUUGCUCGAAUAUGCCGGAGUAGCGGCCGGAGAAGCCAUAGAUCUAUAGAUCUGAGAAGAUUUGAAUGGGAGCCAUCAAGGUCAAGCCCUUGGUUCUUCAAAUAUUGAGCACACAGGAGUAAUAGGGGGUGAGUAUGAGGGUAUAAUGACCGGAAUGACCAUGAUUUCCGCGGAGCUUGAGGUAGGUAACGAUGAGAUAGACUAGGGUUUCGAGAGGGUUUGAGAGUGUUUUGAGGGAUGACAUGUUUCAAAGGUGGCUGCGAAUGAGAAAUAAGGGAAUUAGGGUAGUCAUCUGGGGCUAAAAAGGG